AGAGUUUGAUCCUGGCUCAGGACGAACGCUGGCGGCGUGCUUAACACAUGCAAGUCGAACGAUGAACUGGAGCUUGCUCCAGGGAUUAGUGGCGAACGGGUGAGUAACACGUGAGUAACCUGCCCUUGACUCUGGGAUAAGCGCUAGAAAUGGCGUCUAAUACCGGAUACGAGCUUCAGCCGCAUGGCUAGGAGUUGGAAAGAAUUUUGGUCAAGGAUGGACUCGCGGCCUAUCAGCUAGUUGGUGAGGUAAUGGCUCACCAAGGCGACGACGGGUAGCCGGCCUGAGAGGGUGACCGGCCACACUGGGACUGAGACACGGCCCAGACUCCUACGGGAGGCAGCAGUGGGGAAUAUUGCACAAUGGGCGAAAGCCUGAUGCAGCAACGCCGCGUGAGGGAUGACGGCCUUCGGGUUGUAAACCUCUUUUAGUAGGGAAGAAGCGAAAGUGACGGUACCUGCAGAAAAAGCACCGGCUAACUACGUGCCAGCAGCCGCGGUAAUAC
RNAcentral lists this ribosomal RNA (505 nucleotides) under actinobacterium MSB2127. RNAcentral describes it as "bacterial SSU rRNA". It matches the Rfam family "Bacterial small subunit ribosomal RNA", at positions 8 to 526 of the family's 1533-position model. Lineage: Bacteria; Bacillati; Actinomycetota; Actinomycetes. The record is from RNAcentral.